UGGCGGGGGACAACCUUCCGAAAGGAUGGCUAAUACCGCAUAAGUCGGCUGAAUCUAUGAUUUGGUCGGGAAAGGGGGGUCGCAAGAUCUCUCACCAUGAGACGAGCCCGCGUCCCAUCAUGCUAGUUGGUGAGGUAAUGGCUCACCAAGGCUUAGACGGGUAGCUGGUCUGAGAGGAUGAUCAGCCACACUGGAACUGCGACACGGUCCAG
Molecule: ribosomal RNA, 212 nt
Filed under: uncultured bacterium
Lineage: Bacteria
Description: partial 16S ribosomal RNA
Rfam family: Bacterial small subunit ribosomal RNA
Source: RNAcentral